UUGUGGAUGGCAGAAGAUCAGAACACCAGUCCUCUCCGUCUUAGACUUAGUACAUUUUUUUGCUUUCUGAGGCAGAUGCCAAGUCUCAGAGAGUAUGACGACAGCUGGGUAAGAUCUUAGAACCACGUUCACAUUUGCCUGUGUCAAGUUUCCGCCCAGUGAGAAAAGGGGGAGGAGAAGGGGAAGAGGAGGAGAGAGAAGAAGAAGAAGGAGAAG
Long non-coding RNA from Mastomys coucha (southern multimammate mouse), 216 nucleotides. RefSeq lists it as uncharacterized. The record is from RefSeq and is a predicted model, not a curated record. The transcript is spliced from 3 exons. NCBI's taxonomy places the organism in Eukaryota, Metazoa, Chordata, Mammalia, Rodentia, Muridae.